This 455-nucleotide ribosomal RNA is filed under the name uncultured bacterium. Its description in RNAcentral is "bacterial SSU rRNA". It matches the Rfam family "Bacterial small subunit ribosomal RNA", at positions 28 to 526 of the family's 1533-position model. The record is from RNAcentral.
GAUGAACGCUGGCGGCGUGCCUAAUACAUGCAAGUCGAGCGGUAACACUUCGGGUGACGAGCGGCGGACGGCUGAGUAACGCGUGGGAAUGUACCCCAAAGUGAGGGAUAACUGCUCGAAAGAGUAGCUAAUACCGCAUGUGGUCUACGGAUUAAAGCUUCGGCGCUUUGGGAACAGCCUGCGUAUGAUUAGUUUGUUGGUGAGGUAACGGCUCACCAAGACGACGAUCAUUAGCUGGUCUGAGAGGAUGAUCAGCCAGACUGGGACUGAGAACGGCCCAGACUCCUACGGGAGGCAGCAGUAGGGAAUUUUCCACAAUGGACGAAAGUCUGAUGGAGCAACGCCGCGUGCAGGAUGAAUGCCUUCGGGUUGUAAACUGCUUUUAUAUGUGACGAUUGUGACGGUAGCAUAUGAAUAAGGAUCGGCUAAUUCCGUGCCAGCAGCCGCGGUAACAC